Molecule: long non-coding RNA, 558 nt
Organism: Drosophila sulfurigaster albostrigata
Lineage: Eukaryota; Metazoa; Arthropoda; Insecta; Diptera; Drosophilidae
Exons: 2
Source: RefSeq, a predicted model, not a curated record
UUAUAGUAAAAACGAAUAAUAUUAUUUAAAUUCUUUAAACACAAUAUUUCAAGCACAACGUUUUACAUAUUAAACUAAAGUGAUAUUUGAGUGUUUUAAGUUUUUGUUUUAUAUCCCCUUUAAAUAUGAUAAAUGCCUCAAGUGUGUGGUAAAGUUUGAAUGAAAUUGCUGCACAUCUCAAAUAUCUUUAGGAUUCCCGUGACGCUUCAAGUUCAUGAGCGAUUUAAUGAUCUUUCGUGAAGACUGUGCUAUCGAAACGAUCUUUGGAGGCACUUUUGGAUUUGUAUCCAAAAGGGAAUGGAAUCAAUUGCAGAGAAAAAUUCCCCUAUGCAUGUAAGGUAUGCAAAAAAAUGAAGCACCGCCAACAAGUUGUAAUACAAAUUUUGUGGUCCAUUUUACAAAAUGAAAGUUAAAAGAGAGUGAGAGACACGUUCUCCGAAUGAAAGAGAGGGCGAGAGCGAGAGAAAAGCAACAGCAACAAGCAUGAAAAUUUAUGUAACGUAAAAAAUUUUUGAUGAUGUCCUUAAAUCAAAAUUUAAAUAAAUUUUCUAAAAUAAA